CCACAUCCACUUAAUCUCACCUCGUUUGACGCUCCCAUCUCCUCCGCUCCUCCGCUCUGCUCCAUCUCGUCUCGCGCGCCGCCGACGAGAUUGGAGAUCCUCUGCCACCGGUGACGCGAUGCCGGCCGGCCAUGACCACCACCAACUUCUGUUUCUUCUAUCCCUGCCAUGGCUGCUCCACCAAACGCCUCCGGGGCGAGCUGCGCCUGUGGCCGUGGUGAGCCGCGCCCAUGGAUGCGAGGCCGUGCAGCGGCCGGCCUGCAGCGGAGCCUGUUGCAUCCUCGAACCGGCUGCGAUGCCCGAAGUAAGGCGUUGCGACCAGUGAGAUAAGAUGCUGGAACCGGCAUGGGGAUUUGCUUCAACUUGUGCAGGGAUUUGCCUCAACCGGGGAGGAUGGUGGUGGGCUGCGGUAAGUUGCUUCUUUUUUGAUUUUUGCUGGAAACACUUUCGUUUUUUGCUGAAAUCAGUUUCUCGAUUUGUUGCAGCAGGAGAGGAUAAUGCUGGGCGCCAUGACGGCGGGGGUGCCAUGUUUUUUGCUACACAUGAUUUUUGCUGGAACCAGCCUUUUGACCUGCUGCAAUCGGUGAGGAUGGUGUUGGGGUUGCUACGAUGGGGACGCCAUGGCUUUUUUUGCUGUAUUGAUUGCUGGAACCCCCUUUUUCAGUUUUGCUGGAACUAUAUGAAUUUCUUGUUGAAACCAUGUUUGUUUUUUGCUAGAACCAAAUCAAUGUAAUUUGCUGGAAACACGUCAUUUUUGCUGGAACCAUAUCAAUUUUUUGCUGGAACCAUAUAAAUUAUUUGCUACAACCAUGUGUUCUGCUUUUCAAACUGGCGUUGCU
RNAcentral lists this long non-coding RNA (839 nucleotides) under Triticum aestivum (bread wheat). RNAcentral's name for it is "long non-coding RNA (TAES_LNC011659)". The record is from RNAcentral. Lineage: Eukaryota; Viridiplantae; Streptophyta; Magnoliopsida; Poales; Poaceae.